Molecule: ribosomal RNA, 468 nt
Filed under: uncultured bacterium
Lineage: Bacteria
Description: partial 16S ribosomal RNA
Rfam family: Bacterial small subunit ribosomal RNA
Source: RNAcentral
GACGAACGCUGGCGGCGUGCUUAACACAUGCAAGUCGAACGGAAAGGCCCUGCUUUUGUGGGGUGCUCGAGUGGCGAACGGGUGAGUAACACGUGAGUAACCUGCCCUUGACUUUGGGAUAACUUCAGGAAACUGGGGCUAAUACCGGAUAGGAGCUCCUGCUGCAUGGUGGGGGUUGGAAAGUUUCGGCGGUUGGGGAUGGACUCGCGGCUUAUCAGCUUGUUGGUGGGGUAGUGGCUUACCAAGGCUUUGACGGGUAGCCGGCCUGAGAGGGUGACCGGCCACAUUGGGACUGAGAUACGGCCCAGACGCCUACGGGGGGCAGCAGUGGGGAAUAUUGCGCAAUGGGCGGAGGCCUGAUGCAGCAACGCCGCGUGCGGGAUGACGGCCUUCGGGUUGUAAACCGCUUUCGCCUGUGACGAAGCGUGAGUGACGGUAAUGGGUAAAGAAGCACCGGCUAACUACGUG